AUUGAACGCUAGCGGGAUGCUUUACACAUGCAAGUCGAACGGCAGCGCGGACUUCGGUCUGGCGGCGAGUGGCGAACGGGUGAGUAAUGUAUCGGAACGUGCCCAGUAGCGGGGGAUAACUACGCGAAAGCGUAGCUAAUACCGCAUACGCCCUACGGGGGAAAGCAGGGGAUCGUAAGACCUUGCACUAUUGGAGCGGCCGAUAUCGGAUUAGCUAGUUGGUGAGGUAACGGCUCACCAAGGCGACGAUCCGUAGCUGGUUUGAGAGGACGACCAGCCACACUGGGACUGAGACACGGCCCAGACUCCUACGGGAGGCAGCAGUGGGGAAUUUUGGACAAUGGGGGCAACCCUGAUCCAGCUAUCCCGCGUGUGCGAUGAAGGCCUUCGGGUUGGAAAGCACUUUUGGCAGGAAAGAAACGUCGCGGGCUAAUACCCCGUGGAACUGACGGUACCUGCAGAAUAAGCACCGGCUAACUACG
Molecule: ribosomal RNA, 482 nt
Filed under: uncultured bacterium
Lineage: Bacteria
Description: partial 16S ribosomal RNA
Rfam family: Bacterial small subunit ribosomal RNA
Source: RNAcentral